AUGGCUUCUAGGGCUUUUUGGCUGAGAUCGAAUAUACUAUCUGUCCUUAUCAGUUUAAUCUCUGAUGCAUUCAUUCUCUUGUAGCAGGAAGUGCCCCCCCCCUCCCGUUGCCCAGGUACCCUCC
This is a small nuclear RNA of Cavia porcellus (domestic guinea pig), 124 nucleotides long. Its record names the gene U2. It matches the Rfam family "U2 spliceosomal RNA". Rfam says of the family: U2 is a small nuclear RNA (snRNA) component of the spliceosome (involved in pre-mRNA splicing). Complementary binding between U2 snRNA (in an area lying towards the 5' end but 3' to hairpin I) and the branchpoint sequence (BPS) of the intron results the bulging out of an unpaired adenosine, on the BPS, which initiates a nucleophilic attack at the intronic 5' splice site, thus starting the first of two transesterification reactions that mediate splicing. The record is from Ensembl. NCBI's taxonomy places the organism in Eukaryota, Metazoa, Chordata, Mammalia, Rodentia, Caviidae.